GCAAACUUGGUCAUUUAGAGGAAGUAAAAGUCGUAACAAGGUUUCCGUAGGUGAACCUGCGGAAGGAUCAUUAACGAGGAAAGGGUGCCUUCGCGCCCUAACCCACCCGUGUUUACCUUACCACCGUUGCUUUGGCGGGCCCGCUUCGGCCGCUGGCGUUCGCGCCAGCCAGUGCCCGCCAGAGGAUUCUAGAACCUGAUUAACAGUGACCUCUGAGUGAUUUUGAAUCGUUAAAACUUUCAACAAAGGAUCUCUUGGUUCUGGCAUCGAUGAAGAACGCAGC
This 283-nucleotide unclassified non-coding RNA is filed under the name uncultured fungus. RNAcentral describes it as "partial contains small subunit ribosomal RNA, internal transcribed spacer 1, and 5.8S ribosomal RNA". The stretch from base 1 to 73 matches the Rfam family "Eukaryotic small subunit ribosomal RNA", at positions 1759 to 1831 of the family's 1831-position model. The record is from RNAcentral. Lineage: Eukaryota; Fungi.